AACGCACAUUGCGCCCGCCAGUACUCUGGCGGGCAUGCCUGUUCGAGCGUCAUUUCAACCCUCAGGCCCCCUAGGGCGGCCUGGUGUUGGGGAUCGGCUGGCUGCGCGGGUCAGGAACACCCUCCCACCCCUCGGGGCGGUGGGGGAGUCCCUGCCGCCCGCAAACGCCCGCCGCCCCCUAAAUGAAUUGGCGGUCUCGCCGCGGCCUCCUCUGCGUAGUAGCACACGACCUCGCAGCAGGGAGCGCGGCGCGGCCACUGCCGUAAAACGCACCACGACUCCUCUGGAGUUGACCUCGAAUCAGGUAGGACUACCCGCUGAACUUAA
Molecule: unclassified non-coding RNA, 327 nt
Filed under: uncultured fungus
Lineage: Eukaryota; Fungi
Description: partial contains 5.8S ribosomal RNA, internal transcribed spacer 2, and large subunit ribosomal RNA
Rfam family: 5.8S ribosomal RNA (bases 1-52)
Source: RNAcentral